UACGAAGGGGGCUAGCGUUGUUCGGAUUUACUGGGCGUAAAGCGCACGUAGGCGGAUUGUUAAGUGAGAGGUGAAAUCCCGGAGCUCAACUCCGGAACUGCCUUUCAUACUGGCAAUCUAGAGUCCGGAAGAGGUGAGUGGAACUCCUAGUGUAGAGGUGGAAUUCGUAGAUAUUAGGAAGAACACCAGUGGCGAAGGCGGCUCACUGGUCCGGUACUGACGCUGAGGUGCGAAAGCGUGGGGAACAA
RNAcentral lists this ribosomal RNA (248 nucleotides) under uncultured bacterium. RNAcentral's name for it is "partial 16S ribosomal RNA". It matches the Rfam family "Bacterial small subunit ribosomal RNA", at positions 524 to 771 of the family's 1533-position model. The record is from RNAcentral.